This 481-nucleotide ribosomal RNA is filed under the name uncultured bacterium. RNAcentral's name for it is "bacterial SSU rRNA". It matches the Rfam family "Bacterial small subunit ribosomal RNA", at positions 37 to 566 of the family's 1533-position model. The record is from RNAcentral.
UGGCGGCGUGCUUACACAUGCAAGUCGAACGAACCUUCGGGUUAGUGGCGGACGGGUGAGUAACGCGCGAGAAUCUGCCCUCAGGAGGGGGAUAACGGUUGGAAACGACCGCUAAUACCCCAUAUGCCUACUGGUGAAAUGAAUUUCGCCUGAGGAUGAGCUCGCGUCUGAUUAGCUAGUUGGUGAGGUAAUGGCUCACCAAGGCUUCGAUCAGUAGCUGGUCUGAGAGGAUGAUCAGCCACACUGGGACUGAGACACGGCCCAGACUCCUACGGGAGGCAGCAGUGGGGAAUUUUCCGCAAUGGGCGAAAGCCUGACGGAGCAACGCCGCGUGAGGGACGAAGGCCUCUGGGCUGUAAACCUCUUUUCUCAAGGAAGAAGAUAUGACGGUACUUGAGGAAUAAGCCACGGCUAAUUCCGUGCCAGCAGCCGCGGUAAUACGGGAGUGGCAAGCGUUAUCCGGAAUUAUUGGGCGUUAAGC